RNAcentral lists this ribosomal RNA (227 nucleotides) under uncultured bacterium. RNAcentral describes it as "partial 16S ribosomal RNA". It matches the Rfam family "Bacterial small subunit ribosomal RNA", at positions 524 to 751 of the family's 1533-position model. The record is from RNAcentral.
GACAGAGGGUGCAAACGUGUUCGGAAUUACUGGGCGUAAAGCGCGUGUAGGCGGCCAUCUAAGUCGGGCGUGAAAUCCCACGGCUCAACCGUGGAAGUGCACUCGAAACUGGAUGGCUAGAGUCCUGGAGAGGAAGGUGGAAUGCUUGGUGUAGAGGUGAAAUUCGUAGAUAUCAAGCGGAACACCGGUGGCGAAGGCGGCCUUCUGGACAGUGACUGACGCUGAGA